Non-coding RNA from Calypte anna (Anna's hummingbird), 141 nucleotides. The record is from Rfam. NCBI's taxonomy places the organism in Eukaryota, Metazoa, Chordata, Aves, Apodiformes, Trochilidae.
UAUUGUGGUGGUUUCUGUAUUUGGCAGAUCUGUAACUGUAUCUGACUGGCCUUAAGCUACCACAAAGAUCAAAAAGGAGAUGGCUGUGCUGAGAACUUUUUCAAGCUUUUAGUUUUCAGCUUUUUGUGAUCUCCCACAGAA